UUGGAAUAAAACAUCAUUUUCUCUUUUUUUUCCCCAAAAUGUGAGGCACCGAGUUCACUGAGAGAGAAUGAAACCCUAAGUUUUCUACAUAUGCCAUUCUUGCCGCCGUUCUCGCUGCCGUUUCCGCUGCAGGUGCCGUUACCACUUCGGCCGUGUCCAUUGCAGUAGAAAGCUUCUGGAUUGAGCCACAUCUUCUAUCAACGUGUUUUCAGAUCUGUUCUCUCUAUCUAUCAUUGCUGCCACUGUUGCCAUCGCAGUUUGCGCCGCCGUUGCUGCCACAGUUUCUACCAUCGAUGACACCGUAGUUGCUGUAGUAUAAUGCAUUUGCAGAUCUGUUCACUCCUGAGCUUCUUCUUCAACGCUGCUUUCUCUCACUCCAAUUUCCCCUAUAAACUGCCGAUGAUUGCUAAUGGAACAUACUAUACUUCGUCAACGACAAGGAGGACCGGCAGUGAUGGGGUGAUAUUUGAAGUGGCCAAAGAGGCUGAUAGUUCUAUAAGGAAAGUUUCUCACAGAGUUUCCAAAGGCAUUCACUGCAAGGAAUUAGUUCCCAACAUCAAUAAGUAUCAGUCUUUUACUUGGAGUCUUUGAUUGUGAUGAAUUACUACACUACAAUGCGGCAAUGCAAGCGUGGAAGAAGAGAAUAAUGUCGUUCAUGUUGCCUUCCGAUCCGAACACAUGUCUUGGAUGGAAGACAGGCUUCGAUCCUGCAUCCACCAAUUGACAUUUUAGCUUUAUGUUGCUUUUGAUGCAAGUCACAAUUGCUCCCAGAGCUGGUAGGGAAUUGGGUUAUGUGCGGGUGAAGAUGGAUCCUAUCAAAUUUAACGAAGGAAUGCUCAUUCGACAAUCUGUCCUAGAUCAUAUUACCGUUCAACUAGCUCCCCGUGCAGCCGAUGAAAUUUGGUUUGGGAGUGGUCAAGUAAGAUAAAAUUCCCACUUGCUUUCCUUAAGUUUCCUCACUCCUUUUUAUUUUCUUCAUUGGUUCUUUUUGGUUGCUAUUUUAACUUGGUUUACAAUAUUUCGUUGAGUACGAUAUGGGCCGAAACUACAGACAAAGCGAGGUCCGUAGCAAGGAUAUUUAUUCUUGGUGGGCUUUCAGAGAAGCACCAUGGAAUUACCAAUUUCUGGGUGGCAGACCGAAUAAAUGUAUGGGUUCUCUCUCUCAAGAUUUCUUUCAUCUGGUGUACUUGCAUGGCUCCAUAAAACCAAUACUUCCCAGCAUUCUUGACCUUAGAGCUGCCAAGCACAGAGAAUUCCAACAACUUCGUAAUGAUGAAAACCAGACAGCUUUGAAGAGCAACUCUUAAGAAAUGCCACAACCAGUUUUGAGACUAGUUUACUUUAUAGUCAUAUUUAUUGUACCUUAUUCCUGUAGCAUACUGAAAUCUGUGUUGAUUUCCAUUUGAUUUCCUAAUGAAAAUUUUUAAUUGGACUAUAGGAUUUGCUUUUGUAGAUUUAAUUGGGAAAUGUCAGUGCCGAGUGCCAACAAAUACUCUGGUAUGUAGCUCAAACCUCUUGUUUAUUUGUAUUCUCUAAACUCAAACUUAUCAAAUAUGUAUAGGUUGCAAUUUAAUUAUCUGGUCUUUGAAUUUUAUUCCAUUGACUUUGCUAUGAUACUUUUAGCAAUAGUUUUCUCUGCAUGAGGUACCGAGGUUGAAUGCUAAGGCAGUGGAAUCUGAUCCUGGUUUUUUAAUUUCUUUCACUUUAAGCAAAUAAUAUUAAUACCUUUGUAACAUGAGUCAUAGGUUUAUAUAAAACAUUGCUAUUUAAGUGUUUAUCAUUCAAAUAAAUAAAGUAUGCAGAACAAGAAAUCACCAAGUCCUACAAUAUUUACAGUCAACAUGGGGCAAAGAUAAAUUCAAGUUCUAGUAAGACUGGACAUUUUAUGUGAAACUUGAUUAUGGAGAUGUAAACUAUUCAACUCUGCCACCUUGAUGAAUUUGUCACCAUGACAAAGUCAACUUUCAAAUGACAGAGAAUCUGGAGUUCCAUUAUAUGUGGCAACAAAUAUGACAUCAAUUAGAAGAUCUUCAUUCUUCGUCCUGUCAACUAAUGGAUAUGCCAAAGCUGGUGUGAGAUGGAUAGGCUAUGAACCUCGCUGCAGGCCAUAUAUAGCGUAAAAUUUUGAUUUAUUAUUUUUAAUUUGUAUUUAAAUAGAUUUAAUCAUUUUGUUUUUAACUUUUUAUGAGUUUUGAAUGCAUGUUCAGAAUUAAAUUAACUUUGAUUUAUAUUCAUUUCCAUUUGAAAUCUA
Molecule: non-coding RNA, 2251 nt
Organism: Arachis ipaensis
Lineage: Eukaryota; Viridiplantae; Streptophyta; Magnoliopsida; Fabales; Fabaceae
Source: RefSeq, a predicted model, not a curated record